RNAcentral lists this ribosomal RNA (253 nucleotides) under uncultured bacterium. RNAcentral's name for it is "partial 16S ribosomal RNA". It matches the Rfam family "Bacterial small subunit ribosomal RNA", at positions 524 to 776 of the family's 1533-position model. The record is from RNAcentral.
UACAGGGGGGGCAAGCGUUGUUCGGAAUUACUGGGCGUAAAGGGUCUGUAGGUGGCCAGCUAAGUCAGACGUGAAAUCCCUCAGCUUAACUGGGGAACUGCGUCUGAUACUGGAUGGCUUGAGUGUGGGAGAGGAAUGCGGAAUUCCAGGUGUAGCGGUGAAAUGCGUAGAUAUCUGGAGGAACACCGGUGGCGAAGGCGGCAUUCUGGACCAUAACUGACACUGAGAGACGAAAGCCAGGGGAGCAAACGGG